This 236-nucleotide unclassified non-coding RNA is filed under the name plant metagenome. RNAcentral describes it as "partial contains small subunit ribosomal RNA, internal transcribed spacer 1, and 5.8S ribosomal RNA". The record is from RNAcentral.
UUUCCGUAGGUGAACCUGCGGAAGGAUCAUUACUGAGUGAGGGCCCCUCGGGGUCCAACCUCCCACCCGUGUUUAACGAACCUUGUUGCUUCGGCGGGCCCGUCUCACGGCCGCCGGGGGGCAUCUGCCCCCGGGCCCGCGCCCGCCGAAGCCACCUGUGAACGCUGUCUGAAGUAUGCAGUCUGAGACAAUUAUUAAAUUAAUUAAAACUUUCAACAACGGAUCUCUUGGUUCCG